This 121-nucleotide ribosomal RNA is filed under the name Helianthus annuus (common sunflower). Lineage: Eukaryota; Viridiplantae; Streptophyta; Magnoliopsida; Asterales; Asteraceae. The record is from RNAcentral.
GGUUGCGAUCAUACCAGCACUAAUGCAUCGGAUCCCAUCAGAACUCCGCAGUUAAGCAUGCUUGGGAAAGAGUAGUUCUAGGAUGGGUGACCCCCUGGGAAGUUCUCGUGUUGCAACCCAC